CGGACUAAUACCGCGUGGUACACCAGUGGGGCAUCCCACUGGUGUUAAAAGGAAGUGAUUCCGGCGGAGGAUGGGCAUGCGGCGCAUUAGCUUGUUGGCGGGGUAACGGCCCACCAAGGCAACGAUGCGUAGGGGUUCUGAGAGGAAGGUCCCCCACACUGGUACUGAGACACGGACUAGACUCCUACGGGAGGCAGCAGUGAGGAAUAUUGGUCAAUGGGCGGGAGCCUGAACCAGCCAAGUCGCGUGAGGGAAGACGGUCCUAUGGAUUGUAAACCUCUUUAGGCGGGGAGCGAUGCCGGGCACGUGUGCCCGGAGGGAGAGUACCCGCAGAAUAAGCAUCGGCUAACUCCGUGCCAGCAGCCGCGGUAAUACGGAGGAUGCGAGCGUUAUCCGGAUUUAUUGGGUUUAAAGGGUGCGUAGGCGGAUUUUUAAGUCAGCGGUAAAAUGUCCGGGCUCAACCCGGGCCGGCCGUUGAAACUGGGGAUCUUGAGUGGGCGAGAAGUAUGCGGAAUGCGUGGUGUAGCGGUGAAAUGCAUAGAUAUCACGCAGAACUCCGAUUGCGAAGGCAGCAUACCGGCGCCCGACUGACGCUGAGGCACGAAAGCGUGGGGAUCGAACAGGAUUAGAUACCCUGGUAGUCCACGCAGUAAACGAU
This 658-nucleotide ribosomal RNA is filed under the name uncultured bacterium. RNAcentral describes it as "bacterial SSU rRNA". It matches the Rfam family "Bacterial small subunit ribosomal RNA", at positions 159 to 810 of the family's 1533-position model. The record is from RNAcentral.